RNAcentral lists this transfer RNA (82 nucleotides) under Udotea sp. TZ0819. Its description in RNAcentral is "tRNA-Leu". It matches the Rfam family "tRNA". From Rfam's summary of the family: Transfer RNA (tRNA) molecules are approximately 80 nucleotides in length. Their secondary structure includes four short double-helical elements and three loops (D, anti-codon, and T loops). Further hydrogen bonds mediate the characteristic L-shaped molecular structure. tRNAs have two regions of fundamental functional importance: the anti-codon, which is responsible for specific mRNA codon recognition, and the 3' end, to which the tRNAs corresponding amino acid is attached (by aminoacyl-tRNA synthetases). tRNAs cope with the degeneracy of the genetic code in two manners: having more than one tRNA (with a specific anti-codon) for a particular amino acid; and 'wobble' base-pairing, i.e. permitting non-standard base-pairing at the 3rd anti-codon position. Lineage: Eukaryota; Viridiplantae; Chlorophyta; Ulvophyceae; Bryopsidales; Halimedaceae. The record is from RNAcentral.
GCUCUUGUGGCGAAAUUGGGUAGACGUAUUAGUUUUAGAAGCUAAUGUCUUUGACGUAUGGGUUCGAGUCCCAUCGAGAGCA